GUACACUAUCUAGGCUAUAUAUUACAAUCCAAAUUGAGCUAUUGUUCCUAUUUAGUAUACAACUAUAUCUUAUUAAGAGCACACGUUCUUCCACUUGGCUUUUUUGCAUUUUUGCAAGCUCUAUUCAAAAUAAUCGGACGACUCUGAUUGCGUCUUCUAGUAAUUGAUCUUGUGGGCUGGGCAGCUCUACAUGUCCCAUUAACUUUAUCAUAUAAUUGAGAGACUAAAUCUUUAGUCUCUUGUACUUGUUUGCAUUUCUGAGCCUUCUUCUUGCUUUCAUCAAAACUCUCUCUUCCAAACUUUUCCAUUGUUUUGUUUUCUUUUGUGAAUUCUUGAGAGGAGAACAAUGAGAAUGGAAAUUCAAGGUUUUAAUUUCAACACCUCCUCAAGUUGGAGGGGAGAUAAGCAACCCCCAACUUGCCAAGAAUUAAAUGAUGGGAAGGACCAGACAAAGGUUUUUCUAAAUAGAUCGUCUUGUUGUGAGGAUGAAGGAACAAACGAGAGAGAGAUCAAUCAAAAAUAAAUUGAUGUCUAGCAAUAGCUAUUUUUAGCUCUGAUACCGUAUAAAAAUUUAAAGAAUGGAUUUAGGAAAUUUUUUUUUGUAUUUUCAUUGCCGUAGUAUAAUGUAUCUAUGCAAGUAUUUUGUUAAAAACAAAAAAGAAAAUCUGCUAUAUUUGUACAUUAUUUAUUGACUGUUCACUAUAAUUCAAAUUCAACUAUUGUGCCUAUUUAGUAUACAGCUAAUGUACUGAUUGUAUAAUUUUUUUAUAUAUCAUUUAGUUUUUGUAAUGGAUCAGUUUGAUCAAACGGUUGUGAUGAAGUAGCAAUAUCUGAUCUAGGAGCAAACAUUUCCAUUUGGCUUGUUUGUAUUGUUGCAAGCUCUAUUCAAAAUAAUUA
This 897-nucleotide long non-coding RNA is filed under the name Nicotiana benthamiana. RNAcentral's name for it is "long non-coding RNA (NBEN_LNC019157)". The record is from RNAcentral. Lineage: Eukaryota; Viridiplantae; Streptophyta; Magnoliopsida; Solanales; Solanaceae.